Molecule: ribosomal RNA, 736 nt
Filed under: Acinetobacter radioresistens
Lineage: Bacteria; Pseudomonadati; Pseudomonadota; Gammaproteobacteria; Moraxellales; Moraxellaceae
Description: bacterial SSU rRNA
Rfam family: Bacterial small subunit ribosomal RNA
Source: RNAcentral
AUGCAGUCGAGCGGAUGAAGGUAGCUUGCUACUGGAUUCAGCGGCGGACGGGUGAGUAAUGCUUAGGAAUCUGCCUAUUAGUGGGGGACAACGUUCCGAAAGGAGCGCUAAUACCGCAUACGUCCUACGGGAGAAAGCAGGGGACCUUUGGGCCUUGCGCUAAUAGAUGAGCCUAAGUCGGAUUAGCUAGUUGGUAGGGUAAAGGCCUACCAAGGCGACGAUCUGUAGCGGGUCUGAGAGGAUGAUCCGCCACACUGGGACUGAGACACGGCCCAGACUCCUACGGGAGGCAGCAGUGGGGAAUAUUGGACAAUGGGGGGAACCCUGAUCCAGCCAUGCCGCGUGUGUGAAGAAGGCCUUUUGGUUGUAAAGCACUUUAAGCGAGGAGGAGGCUACCUAGAUUAAUACUUUAGGAUAGUGGACGUUACUCGCAGAAUAAGCACCGGCUAACUCUGUGCCAGCAGCCGCGGUAAUACAGAGGGUGCGAGCGUUAAUCGGAUUUACUGGGCGUAAAGCGUGCGUAGGCGGCCAAUUAAGUCAAAUGUGAAAUCCCCGAGCUUAACUUGGGAAUUGCAUUCGAUACUGGUUGGCUAGAGUAUGGGAGAGGAUGGUAGAAUUCCAGGUGUAGCGGUGAAAUGCGUAGAGAUCUGGAGGAAUACCGAUGGCGAAGGCAGCCAUCUGGCCUAAUACUGACGCUGAGGUACGAAAGCAUGGGGAGCAAACAGGAUUAGAUACU